AAAGUCAAUUGUUACUCAACUUACACAUGCAAGUCUCCGCACCCCUGUGAGAACGCCCUCAAAUCCCUUUAGGGAUCAGGAGCUGGUAUCAGGCUCGACCCUCAGCCCACAACACCUAGCCACGCCACACCCACAAGGGUAUUCAGCAGUGAUUAACAUUGUUAAUAAGCGCAAGCUUGACCCAGUCAGAGUAAAUAGGGCCGGCAAAUCUGGUGCCAGCCGCCGCGGCCACACCACAGGCUCAAAUUGACCACCUACUCGGCGUAAAGCGUGAUUAAAGCUACCUUAAGCUGCAAUUAAACUGGAACUAGGAUGUUCAAACCCUGACUCCAGGAAACUCACGAACGAAAGUCAUUGCAACACAAACUACUUGA
Molecule: ribosomal RNA, 374 nt
Filed under: Scinax boesemani (Boeseman's snouted treefrog)
Lineage: Eukaryota; Metazoa; Chordata; Amphibia; Anura; Hylidae
Description: partial 12S ribosomal RNA
Source: RNAcentral